GAGCCAAGUUCGAACUUGAUUUUUAAGCUUGUUUAAUAAACGAACCGAGCUUGAGUUUCACAGUAUUCGGUUUAUUAAGGCUUGUGAACAGGCUAUUUUGUAAAAACAUUUAUAUUAAUCAUUAUAGGUUAUUAUAUUAUAAAUAUUUAUUAUAUUAUUUAUGAAUGUUCUAAAAAUAAUGUAUAAUUUAAAACUAUAAUAUAAUCAAUAUAUUUAUAAAAUAUAGUUAUUUGUAAUU
This 238-nucleotide unclassified non-coding RNA is filed under the name Hevea brasiliensis (rubber tree). Lineage: Eukaryota; Viridiplantae; Streptophyta; Magnoliopsida; Malpighiales; Euphorbiaceae. The record is from RNAcentral.